Molecule: ribosomal RNA, 497 nt
Filed under: uncultured bacterium
Lineage: Bacteria
Description: partial 16S ribosomal RNA
Rfam family: Bacterial small subunit ribosomal RNA
Source: RNAcentral
GAUGAACGCUGGCGGCGUGCCUAAUACAUGCAAGUCGAACGAACGGGCGCGAAGCUUGCUUCUCUGAUGUUUGCGGCGGACGGGAGUGACACACGUGUAUAAUCUACCUGUCAGACGGGGAUCACUAGGGGAAACCGGCGCUUACACGGGAGAAUCUCUUGAACCGCAGUGUUGAAAAGUGAAAGACGGCCUUGCUGUCUGUUAUCGCUGGUUACGCGCUGGAUUAGGUAGUUGUUAAGGUAACGGCUUACCAAGGCAACGAUGCAUGGCCGACCUGAGAGGGUGAUCGGCCACACUGGAGCUGAGACACGGUCCAUACUCCUACGGGAGGCAGCAGUAGGGAAUCUGCCGCAAUGGUCGAAAGCCUGACGGAGCAACGCCGCGUGAGUGAUGAAGGUCUUCGGAUCGUAAAACUCUGUUAUUAGGGAAGAACCUAUGUGUAAGUAACUGUGCACAUCUUGACGGUACCUAAUCAGAAAGCCACGGCUAACUACGUG